CGCCGUACACACCAGCACACCGUUGUACGGCCCCUGUCCACAGCACGCCUUGUUGGAGACCGCAAAGCCUGCAAGAACAAAGUAAGUAGUGGCAAUGUUUGUUCUUUCUCGUUCUUUUCUCUUGUUCUUGUCUUUGUUUGUGGAUUGAGAUGGUUUUGAUCUUACCUCCCUGCGCAGGAUUGUCGAUGUACUCCUUGAGAAUGUCGAAACCAUUGAGGUAGGCAAAGAGUGCUCCUGGAAGUUCCUGGUUGAGCUCCACCAGCAUGUUUUUCAGCAGCGCGUUGAAGUUGAGGACGUAGUCGUUCAGCUGCUGGACGCACUGCCCGUCCCGGCUGCGCUGCGAGAGCUGCGACGGGAUGCAUCCGAUCGGUCCGAUGUUUCCCACGGUUACUUUGCGUGCACCGAGAGCGUAGACGGUCUGCCAUUUUUUUUUCCUUGGGUAAGCUUUUGUUUGGAUUGAUGGAGAUGCUUACUCUGAGUUGCUGCCGCAGAGUGGCGAUGAGCAGCGUGUUGAACUGCGCGGGAGAGAACUGAGCCGCUCGAACCGAGACCGGCAAUAGAUAGUUGUUGAUGUAGUCGU
Molecule: long non-coding RNA, 580 nt
Filed under: Selaginella moellendorffii
Lineage: Eukaryota; Viridiplantae; Streptophyta; Lycopodiopsida; Selaginellales; Selaginellaceae
Description: long non-coding RNA (SMOE_LNC001986)
Source: RNAcentral